This 90-nucleotide unclassified non-coding RNA is filed under the name Pseudomonas sp. ok272. RNAcentral also lists the same sequence under 1 other name. Lineage: Bacteria; Pseudomonadati; Pseudomonadota; Gammaproteobacteria; Pseudomonadales; Pseudomonadaceae. The record is from RNAcentral.
UGUGGGAGCGGGCUUGCUCGCGAUGAGGGCAGCACAUUCAGCAUCAAUGUUGACUGAUCCACCGCUUUCGCGAGCAAGCCCGCUCCCACC